Molecule: long non-coding RNA, 1177 nt
Organism: Cyprinus carpio (common carp)
Lineage: Eukaryota; Metazoa; Chordata; Actinopteri; Cypriniformes; Cyprinidae
Source: Ensembl
AGAGCGCGUGAGGGAAACUGCUACUGCACGACGCGAGUGAUGAACACCUGUGCGCAUCCCUGCGCCACCGGCACGCAGGUAUAAAGCAUAAAGCCAGUGUCGCUCGCGAGGAAAGAUGACAUGAUGGUUAUUGGCAUUUUUAAAGCGCUCGCCCUGCGAAUGCACCUUAAAACAAGGCACCCGGAGGGGCUCGCGCUGAUUCGACCCCAGUAAAGGGGUUCAAGAGCGGCUGAGGACAACUGUGAAUUAAUAAAAUGUUUCAAAACUGACCUAAACGCUCACUUUAGACAUCCCAAAUGCAGUCUUUGAGUACGGGAUAUGACUUACAGCCUGCGUUUAGACGGGAAUAUUGGCCAUUACCUGAACGAGAAACUCUAUUCUAAAACUCGUGAAGUACAAACGAUGUGUCGCGAUGCGCCUCAGGUAGAGCGCGCGCACAUUAACUGCUUUAAAUUGCAUGAAGCGCUUUAGCCAAGCCCAGUGUGUUAGAUUUAAAUGGUCCAGUUUUGACACAUUUGCUUUGCUCAACCGAGUAUCGGCGCUAAGCCCUGGGAUUUCACCUCGUCCUUGAGAGACCAGCGCAAAUCAACCCAAAUAAAACAUCCCGACCCUGUUCACCUCUCCCGGAGGGUCGUUUUCCUUCGCGACACGUGGACGAAGCCGUACACAGCAUUAGUGUGAAAGACACAAGCCAAACAAUGCCUGAUGAAAGGACACUCUCUGUGUUUGUUGCUGUUGACCUGAAUCUAGUCUGAAAGGAAGCCACGGACAGGGCGGAGAGGAAUGAAGAUACAGGGAGGAACGGGACCGAAGAGACGCAGCCUCUAUAGAGGGACUCAGACAGGGUGGGAGGAGAUCCCAGCAGGUAAAAGGACCCACCGCAGGUCACGACCACAAACAGCAUAUCAGCUGGCUAUUUCUGAACAGGCCAUUGUGCCUGAUUUCUGUCCACACAGACACACACACAAACACACACACACACGUGUCCUUUACACCUGGUUGUACUGUAGGUCCUGCUUAACGCUGUUGUAGUGCCAAUGGGAAUUUACAGUACAUACAAAAUACAAAAAAAAAAUCAGGAAGGUUUAUGUGAGGGUUAUAUUUAGGGUUAGAGGAUUGUUUUUAUUUGCCAUUAUUUUUAUGACCUGACCCUGAAUAAAGGUCACGUCAGCACACA